RNAcentral lists this ribosomal RNA (491 nucleotides) under uncultured bacterium. RNAcentral describes it as "partial 16S ribosomal RNA". It matches the Rfam family "Bacterial small subunit ribosomal RNA", at positions 29 to 506 of the family's 1533-position model. The record is from RNAcentral.
AGUGAACGCUGGCGGUAGGCCUAACACAUGCAAGUCGAACGGCAGCACAGUAAGAGCUUGCUCUUACGGGUGGCGAGUGGCGGACGGGUGAGGAAUACAUCGGAAUCUACUUUUUCGUGGGGGAUAACGUAGGGAAACUUACGCUAAUACCGCAUACGACCUACGGGUGAAAGCAGGGGAUCUUCGGACCUUGCGCGAUUGAAUGAGCCGAUGUCGGAUUAGCUAGUUGGCGGGGUAAAGGCCCACCAAGGCGACGAUCCGUAGCUGGUCUGAGAGGAUGAUCAGCCACACUGGAACUGAGACACGGUCCAGACUCCUACGGGAGGCAGCAGUGGGGAAUAUUGGACAAUGGGCGCAAGCCUGAUCCAGCCAUACCGCGUGGGUGAAGAAGGCCUUCGGGUUGUAAAGCCCUUAUGUUGGGAAAGAAAAGCAGCAGGUUAAUACCCCGCUGUUCUGACGGUACCCAAAGAAUAAGCACCGGCUAACUUCGU